CCUCAGUAAUGGCGAAUGAACAGGGAUGAGCUCAGUAUGGAAAUUGGGGCCUGUGGCCUUGAAUUGUAGUCUGGAGAUGUACCACCAACUGGGGCGCAGAUGUAAGCCUCUUGGAAAAGAGCAUCAAUGAGGGUGAGAGUCCCGCAUGGCAUCUGCAGUCCCCAGUGCACGGUGUACCUUCUAAGAGUCACGUUCCUCGGGAUUGGAGCGCAAAUCGGGUGGUAAAUUUCAUCUAAAGCUAAAUAUAGUUUCGAGACCGAUAGCAAACAAGUACCAUGAGGGAAAGGUGAAAAGGACUUUGAAAAGAGAGUUAAAAGUGCCUGAAAUUGCUGAAAGGGAAGCGAAUGGAACCAGCGAAACUUGGCAAGAUUGCUGUGUGUCAAUGUGAUUGCUUGCUGCUGCAACGUAAGUGUGGUAGUAAGUCUUGAGCAGGACAUGCUCGGUGUUUCUUGCCUUGUGUGUCACCUGUGGUUCGUGAUUGAGGAAAACUUCAGGGACAUGGUAGCCUGUCUCCGGGUGGGUGAACGUGUCUGCUGGAACUCAUUCGUGGACUGCUUGGUGACUAAAUGGUUUCAUCCGACCCGUCUUGAAAC
This 593-nucleotide ribosomal RNA is filed under the name Scrippsiella donghaiensis. RNAcentral's name for it is "partial large subunit ribosomal RNA". It matches the Rfam family "Eukaryotic large subunit ribosomal RNA", at positions 78 to 660 of the family's 3401-position model. Lineage: Eukaryota; Dinophyceae; Peridiniales; Peridiniaceae. The record is from RNAcentral.